AGUGAACGCUGGCGGUAGGCCUAACACAUGCAAGUCGAACGGCAGCACAGUAAGAGCUUGCUCUUACGGGUGGCGAGUGGCGGACGGGUGAGGAAUACAUCGGAAUCUACUUUUUCGUGGGGGAUAACGUAGGGAAACUUACGCUAAUACCGCAUACGACCUACGGGUGAAAGCAGGGGAUCUUCGGACCUUUCGCGAUUGAAUGAGCCGAUGUCGGAUUAGCUAGUUGGCGGGGUAAAGGCCCACCAAGGCGACGAUCCGUAGCUGGUCUGAGAGGAUGAUCGGCCACACUGGAACUGAGACACGGUCCAGACUCCUACGGGAGGCAGCAGUGGGGAAUAUUAGACAAUGGGCGCAAGCCUGAUCCAGCCAUACCGCGUGGGUGAAGAAGGCCUUCGGGUUGUAAAGCCCUUUUGUUGGGAAAGAAAAGCAGCAGGUUAAUACCCCGCUGUUCUGACGGUACCCAAAGAAUAAGCACCGGCUAACUUCGUG
This 492-nucleotide ribosomal RNA is filed under the name uncultured bacterium. Its description in RNAcentral is "partial 16S ribosomal RNA". It matches the Rfam family "Bacterial small subunit ribosomal RNA", at positions 29 to 507 of the family's 1533-position model. The record is from RNAcentral.